Molecule: ribozyme, 114 nt
Filed under: Aedes aegypti (yellow fever mosquito)
Lineage: Eukaryota; Metazoa; Arthropoda; Insecta; Diptera; Culicidae
Description: drz-agam-1 ribozyme
Rfam family: drz-agam-1 ribozyme
Source: Rfam by way of RNAcentral
GGCUGAACUCCUAUCUCUACCUCCACGUGGUACUGACCGGGUAUGAGUAACCUAAGGGAAGAUCGGGUAACCAACACCGGUGGGAACUCUGGUCGUAUGCUGACAGGGAAAAGG